UGAGAAUUUCGGAAUAUCUUUGCCCGAAGGCCUGAUUGUAUCUUGAAAGUUCAGAUUUCUUCCCUGUGAUGAUCUGUUCUCUUUACCUAAUUCCGAAUUUGCGCCUAACUUUCUCUGAAUAUCGCACAAAUUUGCAUCCAGCGUUUUGGUAACCAUGGAAAAUUGUGCUACUGUUGCAUUAAGUAACAAUGCCUGCUCACUUUGUUCU
Molecule: long non-coding RNA, 208 nt
Filed under: Zostera marina
Lineage: Eukaryota; Viridiplantae; Streptophyta; Magnoliopsida; Alismatales; Zosteraceae
Description: long non-coding RNA (ZMAR_LNC005395)
Source: RNAcentral